Molecule: ribosomal RNA, 267 nt
Filed under: Triticum aestivum (bread wheat)
Lineage: Eukaryota; Viridiplantae; Streptophyta; Magnoliopsida; Poales; Poaceae
Description: partial small subunit ribosomal RNA
Source: RNAcentral
AUGCACGUUAUGUGGAACGUUGCCCAAAACCUGAACCAUCUUUUGAUCCACUGGGAGAUGAACAGUCUACAUCUGCGAGGAGAAGAGUUCCAAAAACUGCUGAGGAGGUUCUUUCACUUGAGCAGAAAGUUGUCAAUACUGCAAUCCUUUCUGACCCAGAAAGAUUUUCUGAGAUCCCAUACAACAUGGAGGAUGCAUCAAAAACAAAUGAUUGUCCUCAUAACGCAGUUGUUGGUGCUAAGCGGAAACACGGAGCCUUUGAGGUAG